This 468-nucleotide ribosomal RNA is filed under the name uncultured bacterium. RNAcentral's name for it is "partial 16S ribosomal RNA". It matches the Rfam family "Bacterial small subunit ribosomal RNA", at positions 28 to 507 of the family's 1533-position model. The record is from RNAcentral.
GACGAACGCUGGCGGCGUGCUUAACACAUGCAAGUCGAACGAUGAUGCCAGCUUGCUGGUGGAUUAGUGGCGAACGGGUGAGUAACACGUGAGCAACCUGCCCCUGACUUCGGGAUAACCGCGGGAAACCGUGGCUAAUACCGGAUAUGACGCGCUAUCGCAUGGUGGUGUGUGGAAAGAUUUAUCGGUUGGGGAUGGGCUCGCGGCCUAUCAGCUUGUUGGUGGGGUGAUGGCCUACCAAGGCGACGACGGGUAGCCGGCCUGAGAGGGUGACCGGCCACACUGGGACUGAGACACGGCCCAGACUCCUACGGGAGGCAGCAGUGGGGGAUAUUGCACAAUGGGCGCAAGCCUGAUGCAGCGACGCCGCGUGAGGGAUGACGGCCUUCGGGUUGUAAACCUCUUUCAGUAGGGAAGAAGGCCUUCGGGUUGACGGUACCUGCAGAAGAAGCGCCGGCUAACUACGUG